This 433-nucleotide ribosomal RNA is filed under the name uncultured bacterium. RNAcentral describes it as "partial 16S ribosomal RNA". It matches the Rfam family "Bacterial small subunit ribosomal RNA", at positions 29 to 507 of the family's 1533-position model. The record is from RNAcentral.
AACGAACGCUGGCGGCAUGCCUAACACAUGCAAGUCGAACGAGACCUUCGGGUCUAGUGGCGCACGGGUGCGUAACGCGUGGGAACCUGCCCUUAGGUUCGGAAGAACUCCCCGGAAGGGGUGCUAAUACCGGAUAAUGUCUUCGGACCAAAGAUUUAUCGCCUUUGGAUGGGCCCGCGUUGGAUUAGCUAGUUGGUAGGGUAAAAGCCUACCAAGGCGACGAUCCAUAGCUGGUCUGAGAGGAUGAUCAGCCACACUGGGACUGAGACACGGCCCAGACUCCUACGGGAGGCAGCAGUGGGGAAUAUUGGACAAUGGGCGAAAGCCUGAUCCAGCAAUGCCGCGUGAGUGAUGAAGGCCUUAGGGUUGUAAAGCUCUUUUACCCGGGAUGAUAAUGACAGUACCGGGAGAAUAAGCGCCGGCUAACUCCGUG